This 216-nucleotide ribosomal RNA is filed under the name Glomeromycotina sp. RNAcentral describes it as "partial small subunit ribosomal RNA". The stretch from base 44 to 216 matches the Rfam family "Eukaryotic small subunit ribosomal RNA", at positions 690 to 864 of the family's 1831-position model. The record is from RNAcentral. Lineage: Eukaryota; Fungi; Glomeromycota.
GGGUCAGUAGGUUGGUCGUGCCACCGGUACGUACUGGUCUCACUGAUUCCUCCUUCCUGAAGAACCGUAAUGCCAUUAAUCUGGUGUUGCGGGGAAACAGGACUGUUACUUUGAAAAAAUUAGAGUGUUUAAAGCAAGCUAACGCUUGAAUACAUUAGCAUGGAAUAAUGCAAUAGGACGAUCGAUCCUAUUUUGUUGGUUUCUAGGAUUGACGUA